UCGGGAAUUUUGGGCAAUGGGCGAAAGCCUGACCCAGCAACGCCGCGUGAGGGAUGAAGUAUUUCGGUAUGUAAACCUCGAAAGAAUGGGAAGAAUAAAUGACGGUACCAUUUAUAAGCUCCGGCUAACUACGUGCCAGCAGCCGCGGUAAUACGUAGGGAGCAAGCGUUGUUCGGAUUUACUGGGCGUAAAGGGCGCGUAGGCGGCGCGGUAAGUCACUUGUGAAAUCUCUGAGCUUAACUCAGAACGGCCAAGUGAUACUGCUGUGCUAGAGUGCGGAAGAGGCAACCGGGAUUCUUGGUGGAGCGGUGAAAUGCGUAGAUAUCAAGAGGAACACCUGAGGCGAAGGCGGGUUGCUGGGCCGACACUGACGCUGAUGCGCGAAAGCCAGGG
This 393-nucleotide ribosomal RNA is filed under the name uncultured bacterium. RNAcentral describes it as "bacterial SSU rRNA". It matches the Rfam family "Bacterial small subunit ribosomal RNA", at positions 355 to 765 of the family's 1533-position model. The record is from RNAcentral.